UGGAAAGGCAGGCUUCGGCCUGCCUUUCCUGUUGCCCGAGACAGGACUUCCAACGUGCGGGGGGCAACGGAAGUCCAUCUCGUCGUCUCAACCGGGAUUGAUCACGAUUGGUUCCACUCUGUCAAUCGUAGUUAUCUAAAAUAGUGAUUGCCCCACAGCAACGUGGCUGGACGGUAAAUUUUCCAUAAA
RNAcentral lists this non-coding RNA (189 nucleotides) under Brucella abortus. Its description in RNAcentral is "BASRCII26". It matches the Rfam family "Brucella sRNA CII26". Lineage: Bacteria; Pseudomonadati; Pseudomonadota; Alphaproteobacteria; Hyphomicrobiales; Brucellaceae. RNAcentral also lists the same sequence under 3 other names. The record is from RNAcentral.